RNA transcript from Lycium barbarum (goji berry), 2168 nucleotides. It is a transcript of the gene named protein PARALOG OF AIPP2-like, with no coding region annotated. NCBI's taxonomy places the organism in Eukaryota, Viridiplantae, Streptophyta, Magnoliopsida, Solanales, Solanaceae. The record is from RefSeq and is a predicted model, not a curated record. The transcript has 9 exons.
UCCUCUCCUUCCUCAUGGAGAAAAAAAAAAAAAAAGCAAAAACAAUGGAGAAGUCAAGAAAACAAGAAUAUACUUAAAAAAAAAAAAGAAGGAAUAAAUAAUUGAAAAAAUGGCCCUGGUUCACCUCACCAGUAGAGAUUGUUGGCGUUGGACGAAAGCUUGUUAAAGUGACAAAAGACAAUCUUACAAUUUGAAAGAAAGACAAUUUAAAGAUUAGUGCUUUCAGCUCAACAACUGUGACAUGGCUGCAAAACCAAUUGCUGAUACCAUAUGGCGGGGUAGUUUCAUGAUCUCCCGUCCAGAGAUGACUUUGAAUCUUAAAGCCCAUUUAUCAAGUAAAGCAUGCACAAAAGUAUGGCUGGCAGCUAAAGAUAUGGCGGAUAUGCUCUAUCCUGAAUUGCUUCCCAAGCGUGAUGUGUGGCCUAAGAGUUUUAAAACUUCUAAACUGAUUGAUGAUAAUAUUGCCAUUUAUUUCUUUUCAGUUAAAGGCAGAGACGAUCCAGUUUUUGAAAAUCUGCUGUAUAACUUAAAACACUACGACAUUGCUUUAAAAGCCUUGGUUGGUGAUUCUGAACUCCUGAUAUUUACUUCUUCUCAUCUGCCGGAAAAGCAUCACAGAUUUGAGGGUAAAUUAUAUCUAUGGGGCGUCUUCAGUGGAAGACAAGCUCCUCCUCAACACUCACCCGAUGAUUGUUUCAUUCAUAAUGCCCGAGUCACACAAGCUUCAACCCCUAAUUCAGCAAAUGAUGGAAAAGAUAGAAGUUGCAAGGAAUCCUCCAAUAAGAAAGACUCUUCACCUACCUCAAAAUCAGCUAGAAAGGGAAGGCCGCUCGAUGAUGCUUGGCAACAUGCUACUCCAGUAGAUGGAAAGAAGCAGAGGACAGUUUGCAAGUAUUGUGGAUUUAUCUCUUCCUCUGGAGGCAUUACUUAUCUUAAGACACAUCUGGGUGGCGGCGAUCCAACAGGUUCACUAAAGGGUUGUCCAAAUGUGCCACCAGAAGUCAAAAGAGUGAUGAAAGAAUGGUUACAAGGAACUAUACGAGCGGCGAAGGCCCCACAGCUAGAGGAAAUCAGGACUGACUUUGAAGCAGCACCUGCAUCAAAAAAAUCAGUUAGAAGGGGAAGGCCACUUGAUGCUGCGUGGGAACAUGCUACACCCGUUGAUGCAAAAAGGCAGAGAGCUGUUUGCAAGUAUUGCGGUUUCAUAUCUUCUUCUGGAGGAAUUACACAUCUAAAGGCCCAUUUGGCUGGAGGUGAUCCAAAAGGGCCCUCAAAAGGUUGUCCCAAUGUGCCGCCUGAAGUCAAAAGGGUAAUGGCGGAAUCGCUUAACAGAACAGUGAAAGGGGUGAAGGCCAUGCAGCCAGAGGAAAUCAGGACGUAUAUGAAAGCGGAAAAUGAUUGGUCUCCUCCAAGGUCAGAUGACUAUUCGUUGAAUCAACAGAGAGUUGUAAAGAAUGCUCAGUACUCACAUUUAGCGAAUGGGGGAAAUUCUGUAAAUGAUAUGACCAUGUCAAAGCAAUCAGAGAAAGCACGUGUCGAUAGUUAUAUGGAGGUUAUGAGUUCUCAUAAUGCUUGUAAGUCGAGCUUUUUAAGCAAACCUACGUCUCGAGUAGGUUUUAUUUAAUAUGUGCAUCAGUAGGGCUAUGAAGGGAGACUGCUUAAUCUAAUUGUGAGAACAUGCUCCAUAAUUUAUGACAUGGCAAAACAUACAUGAGGACAGAUGACGAAGUUCAUUCUGCUAUGCUUUAUCAGCAACAAGUUGGAGUGAUUUUGCAGAUGUAUUAAGCCGGGGACAUUUAGUUGGUACUUGCUGAGAAUGCCAAGUUGAAACUGAAUUUGAAUCUGACAUUAUCUAACACUCAGGUAUUCACUAAACAUCAAAUACAAGGUUGCGUUAAGAUGCAAAUACUCUUUUGCAAAUCAGUUGGAGAUGAACUUACUUUAGAUAUGCAUGCAUAGGUUUCCAGUCUUUCAUUUUGGUCAUGAUAUUUGGCUAUUAUUCUCUGAUUCCAUCGUCACAGCUAUAUGUGAUAUGCGUAAUAUCUUUAGAAUGCUUUUCAUAAAUAUUUGUCUCUUGUAUUACUUUUGAAUGUCUAGUUCUGGAAAUGCAAAAGGCACGAAUUAUCAAUUCGAUUUUCACUGAUGAAUGUAUGAAGGUUUCUUUCUCA